Molecule: ribosomal RNA, 768 nt
Filed under: Diversispora versiformis
Lineage: Eukaryota; Fungi; Glomeromycota; Glomeromycetes; Diversisporales; Diversisporaceae
Description: eukaryotic LSU rRNA
Rfam family: Eukaryotic large subunit ribosomal RNA
Source: RNAcentral
ACCUCAGCUCAAGCAAGAAAACCCGCUGAACUUAAGCAUAUCAAUAAGCGGAGGAAAAGAAACUAACAAGGAUUCCCCNUAGUAACGGCGAGUGAAAGAGGGAAAAGCUCAAAUUKUWAAAUCUACCUGGUUCCCAGGUCGAAUUGUAUUUUUGAAGAAUCGAUAUCGGUGUUGAGGUCUGGUUCAAAGUUCUUUGGAACAAGACAUCAUGGARGGUGAGAAUCCCGUGCAUGAUCAGACCAAGAUACUUUAUAUUCGUUUUCUAAGAGUCGAGUUGUUUGGGAAUGCAGCUCAAAUUGGGGUGGUAGACUUCACCUAAGGCUAAAUAUCAGCGAGAGACCGAUAGCGAACAAGUACUGUGAAGGAAAGAUGAAAAGCACUUUGAAAAGAGAGUUAAAUAGUACGUGAAAUUGUUGAAAGGGAAACGAUUGAAGUCAGUCAUGCUAGUGAAAAUUCAGUUUGGCGGGUUUUGGGUUUWGGAGUAAGAGAUAGGGUCAAACCAUCUCUCUUUUAAACUUGGGUUUUGUCGGAUGCACUUUUUCUUUGGCAGGUCAGCGUCGAUUUCGGGGGUUGUAAAAUACUUGGGGGAAAGUAGCUCUGCUUCGGGAGAGUGUUAUAGACCUUGGGAGAUGCAGCCCGUGGGAUCGAGGAUUGCAGCAAAUGCCUUUGGCUUGUCUUCUGAUCUUUGAUUGUUACCUCGUUUAUGACAACAUUCUUGCCAUCGAUGAGUASUAGUGGUUAUGGGUUAGAAUGAUCARWAAUUUGCUA